UUGAACGCUGGCGGCAGGCCUAACACAUGCAAGUCGCACGGUAACAGGAAGAAGCUUGCUUCUUUGCUGACGAGUGGCGGACGGGUGAGUAAUGUCUGGGAAACUGCCUGAUGGAGGGGGAUAACUACUGGAAACGGUAGCUAAUACCGCAUAAUGUCGCAAGACCAAAGAGGGGGACCUUCGGGCCUCUUGCCAUCGGAUGUGCCCAGAUGGAAUUAGCUAGUAGGUGGGGUAACGGCUCACCUAGGCGACGAUCCCUAGCUGGUCUGAGAGGAUGACCAGCCACACUGGAACUGAGACACGGUCCAGACUCCUACGGGAGGCAGCAGUGGGGAAUAUUGCACAAUGGGCGCAAGCCUGAUGCAGCUAUGCCGCGUGUAUGAAGAAGGCCUUCGGGUUGUAAAGUACUUUCAGCGGGGAGGAAGGGAGUAAAGUUAAUACCUUUGCUCAUUGACGUUACCCGCAGAAGAAGCACCGGCUAACUCCGUG
RNAcentral lists this ribosomal RNA (489 nucleotides) under uncultured bacterium. RNAcentral's name for it is "partial 16S ribosomal RNA". It matches the Rfam family "Bacterial small subunit ribosomal RNA", at positions 30 to 507 of the family's 1533-position model. The record is from RNAcentral.